Long non-coding RNA from Telopea speciosissima, 152 nucleotides. RefSeq lists it as uncharacterized. The transcript is spliced from 3 exons. Lineage: Eukaryota; Viridiplantae; Streptophyta; Magnoliopsida; Proteales; Proteaceae. The record is from RefSeq and is a predicted model, not a curated record.
CAAAGCUAGGAAAAUGAAUUGACAAAACAAGAUCCAGUACGAGUCGAUGGACAUAAAAUGGACUAAUAUUAUGAGAAAUAAACUAAACAAUCUGAUGUAAAGAUUUAUAAGAUUCAGAUGAAUCCCAUCCAGAUGAACAACUAGAAUGUUUU